AUGAAGACAUUUGUUCCUACUUUAUUCAUAUUUCUGUGGUUGAAGUUGGAUGGGGUGAUCCAUGGUGAGCAGGUGGAGCAGCAUCCUUCCACCCUGAGAGUCCAGGAGGGAGCCAGCGCUGUCAUCAACUGCACUUAUGGAGACAGUGUCUUGUCCUACUUCCCUUGGUAUAAGCAAGGACCUGGAGAGCAUCCUCAGCUCAUUAUUGGCAUUCGUUCAACUGUGGAAAGAAAGCAGGAGCAAAGACUGAUAGUUUUACAGGAUAAGAAAGCCAAACACUUCUCCCUGCACAUCACAGACACCCGGCCUGGAGACUCUGCCAUGUACUUCUGA
Non-coding RNA from Peromyscus maniculatus bairdii (prairie deer mouse), 333 nucleotides. The record is from the annotation of a RefSeq genome assembly. NCBI's taxonomy places the organism in Eukaryota, Metazoa, Chordata, Mammalia, Rodentia, Cricetidae.